Cottoperca gobio is the source of this 1734-nucleotide RNA transcript. It is a transcript of the gene named eukaryotic translation initiation factor 3, subunit E, b, with no coding region annotated. The record is from RefSeq and is a predicted model, not a curated record. The transcript is spliced from 14 exons. NCBI's taxonomy places the organism in Eukaryota, Metazoa, Chordata, Actinopteri, Perciformes, Bovichtidae.
GCAGUUUUGCCAGGUUCCGUCUGCUCUCUCUGUGUGUGUGUGUGUGUGUGUGUGUGUGUGUCAAUAAAGUGUGCCAUUGAAUCCGGCCAGGAUGGCGGACUACGACUUGACAACCAAGAUAGCUCAUUUUCUCGACCGGCAUUUGGUUUUUCCUCUAUUGGAAUUCCUGUCAGUGAAAGAGAUCUACAAUGAAAAGGAACUUCUUCAGGGAAAGCUGGACCUCCUCAGCGAGACAAACAUGGUUGAUUUCGCCAUGGAUGUGUACAAAAACCUGUAUGCAGACAAGGAAAUCCCACACACUCUGAGAGAGAAGAGGAGUACUGUGGUGGCCCAACUCAAGCAGCUCCAGUCAGAGACGGAGCCAAUUGUCAAGAUGUUUGAAGACCCCGAGACGACUCGACAGAUGCAGUCCACACGAGAUGGGAGGUUGCUCUUCGAAUAUCUUUCAGAGAAACACAAUUUUCAACAAGAAUACCUGGACACACUGUACAGGUACGCCAAAUUCCAGUAUGAGUGCGGUAACUACUCCGGGGCUGCAGAGUACCUCUACUUCUUCCGUGUCCUUGUUCCCUCCACAGACAGGAAUGCUUUGAGCUCUUUGUGGGGGAAACUAGCCUCUGAGAUCCUGAUGCAGAACUGGGAGGCAGCCAUGGAGGAUCUCACUCGACUAAGGGAGACGAUUGAUAACAAUUCUGUGAGCUCUCCUCUCCAGUCCCUCCAGCAGAGGACCUGGCUCAUCCACUGGUCCCUCUUUGUGUUCUUCAACCAUCCUAAAGGCAGAGACAACAUCAUCGAGCUCUUCCUCUAUCAGCCUCAGUAUCUGAAUGCCAUCCAGACCAUGUGCCCACACAUCCUGCGAUACCUUACAACUGCAGUCAUCACCAACAAAGACGUUCGAAAGCGCAGACAAGUGCUCAAGGACUUGGUGAAAGUCAUUCAACAGGAGUCGUACACAUACAAGGACCCAAUCACAGAGUUUGUGGAGUGUCUCUAUGUGAACUUUGACUUUGACAGCGCCCAGAAGAAGCUGAGGGAGUGUGAGUCGGUUCUUGUGAAUGACUUCUUCCUGGUCGCUUGCCUUGAGGAUUUCAUUGAAAAUGCCCGUCUCUUCAUCUUUGAGACCUUUUGUCGGAUUCAUCAGUGUAUCAGCAUCAGCAUGCUGGCAGACAAGCUCAACAUGACGCCGGAGGAGGCGGAGAGGUGGAUCGUCAACCUCAUCCGUAAUGCCAGACUCGAUGCCAAGAUCGACUCCAAACUGGGUCAUGUGGUGAUGGGCAACAACGCAGUGUCGCCGUACCAGCAGGUGAUCGAGAAGACCAAGAGCCUGUCCUUCCGUAGCCAAAUGUUGGCAAUGAACAUCGAGAAGAAAGUCGCCCACAGCAACAGGAAUGAGACACCAAACUGGGCUGCUCAAGACUCCGGCUUAUGUUAAAAUGGAAAUCGGCUUCAAGAAGAUGCAGAUGGCUCUUGGGAUAUCAUUUAGGCUUUUUAUUGUAUUUAUUUAUUUAUAUAUAUAUAUAUAUAUAUAUAUAUAUAUAUAUCGUACAACUAUCGUUAUUUAACUGGCAGCUUAACCUAUGCAGUAAAAAAAUAUUAUAAGAGGAUUACAUGUGCACUCUCUUCAAAAUCUGGUUUUAAUAGUUAAUUUCUGAAUUAUUCACCCAAACUGUGGAAGUAACGACCCAACCUGAAAUAUCAUGAAUUAACAUUAAACAUUUCUUUGCCUCUUUUAGA